Molecule: long non-coding RNA, 702 nt
Organism: Lynx canadensis (Canada lynx)
Lineage: Eukaryota; Metazoa; Chordata; Mammalia; Carnivora; Felidae
Exons: 3
Source: RefSeq, a predicted model, not a curated record
GGUUCCUGGAUUCAAGUCUUGACUCUAAGUAACCUUGGACAAGUCGCAAUGCCUCUCCACGCCUCGCUUUCCUUUUUAAUUUUAAUUUUUGUUGUUGUUGUCAAAUGGAUGGGGGCUCAGAAUCUCUGCUCGAUGAUGUGGAUGUGAGGAUGAAAGUGAAUUUCGUUGGCGAUGUGUCUAGAACGGCACCUGGUCCACGAUGCCCGUGAUGGCUGUCUGUUUGGGGGCUGCUGGGAAGAGAUCUUUGAGUCUGGGCUUCGCUUCCUUGGGGACAGGUGGUGGUAGCUCACUUAUAGGUGCAGUGGAAGAAGGCUGAGAGGUAGGCGCUGGUGGGGAAGGAAAAGCAAGAGUUGGGGGGAAGGAGAGAGAACACGGCAACACACCAGCUAGUACAACUUCUCUUCACUGUGGCGGAAAGAAAAUUAGGGGGUUGCCACACUGUCCUCAUCUAGCAGCAAUUCAGCAAAAAGGGCUGUCUUGCUCUGGCCGUGUUGAGCAAUUCUGGCCCCACCCCUCCUCUCUCCCCAUACCCUCUGUUACUGAAAACGCGGAGAACGAAGGCAAGGUUCCCUUCUUUAAUGACAGAAACACGGGACCAUGUGGAGCUUCAGCUUGCUCCUCUUCUGGGGGUGUUGUGGUUUAUACAGCUCACGUAUUCUCUCAACAAGAUCCGCGACAAUUGGUGAGUUGAAUGAAUGUGUG